RNAcentral lists this ribosomal RNA (404 nucleotides) under uncultured bacterium. RNAcentral's name for it is "bacterial SSU rRNA". It matches the Rfam family "Bacterial small subunit ribosomal RNA", at positions 355 to 776 of the family's 1533-position model. The record is from RNAcentral.
UGAGGAAUAUUGCACAAUGGAGGAAACUCUGAUGCAGCAACGCCGCGUGGAGGAUGACGCAUUUCGGUGUGUAAACUCCUUUUAAGAGGGAAGAUAAUGACGGUACCUCUUGAAUAAGCACCGGCUAACUCCGUGCCAGCAGCCGCGGUAAUACGGAGGGUGCAAGCGUUACUCGGAAUCACGGGGCGUAAAGGGUGCGUAGGCUGGCUUCUAAGUCAGAUGUGAAAUCCAAUGGCUUAACCAUUGAACUGCAUUUGAAACUGGAAGCCUAGAGUUCAGAAGGGGCAGGUGGAAUUAGUGGUGUAGGGGUAAAAUCCGUAGAUAUCACUAGGAAUAUCAAAAGCGAAGGCGAUCUGCUGGGAUGAUACUGACGCUGAGGCACGAAAGCGUGGGGAGCAAACAGG